CCACAACUGGUCCAACAACUCAUCGAUCCUUGGCAAAGGGUACUUGUUCUUCACAGUGACCCGGUUCAACCCCCGGUCGUCAAUACAUAAGCGGAAACUCCCGUCCUUCUUCUUCACAAAUAACACCGGUGCUCCCCAAGGUGAAGUACUAGGACGAAUGAAUCCCUUACCCAACAAAUCCUCUAGCUGCUUCUUUAGCUCUGCCAUCUCUGCUGGAGCCAUCCUGUAGGGUGCCUUAGACAACGGCGCUGUCCCUGGUUCCAACUCAAUCGUGAAAGGAUCAGACCGUGAUGGUGGUAAUCCCUGCAACGAUUGAAACACAUCCUCCCGAAUGUCGCUCACUGCUACCUGCCCCACAGACUCCGGCAUAGAUACCGGCAUCCCUUCUCGAUCAUUUUCUCUGCCUGCACUGCUGAGAUGACGAGACUCCCUGAGGUAGGUCUCACUCCCUGAUAAACCAACCUUCCCUCUGGCCGCUCAAAAGAAACUCUCCCACGGUGGGAGUCAAGAUGUACUCUGUAAUGAUCCAACCAAUCCAUUCCCAGAAUAACAUCAUACAACUCUACAAGGCUGAUAAUCAAAUCUGCUGGCAUUGACCCCCCUGCAAUCUGAAUAUCUACACCCUUCGCUCUCCCAAGAACCGCUAGAAACUGCCCUCCAGCAACCUUGACGUGGAGAUGUCCCCUCUCCCUACAGUGGUAGCACUCCCUCAUCUCAGCUCGCUGCGUGCAAUCCGCCACCUUGUGGUCAAGGCUCCCACAAGAAAAACAUCCUGCACGACCACCCUGUCCAGCUCUGGAAGGAUGAUCCCACUUCCUCUUCUGCCCCUGUGCAGGCUUGCCGCCCUUGCUAGGUGUCACCUGCUGCUGAGUCUUCUUCGGUUGUACCGCUGGACUCACUCCCACCACCUGCCUCUGAAGGUCU
RNAcentral lists this small RNA (924 nucleotides) under Arabidopsis thaliana (thale cress). RNAcentral describes it as "ATSL077130". The record is from RNAcentral. Lineage: Eukaryota; Viridiplantae; Streptophyta; Magnoliopsida; Brassicales; Brassicaceae.